RNAcentral lists this long non-coding RNA (25803 nucleotides) under Malus domestica (apple). RNAcentral's name for it is "long non-coding RNA (MDOM_LNC002349)". The record is from RNAcentral. Lineage: Eukaryota; Viridiplantae; Streptophyta; Magnoliopsida; Rosales; Rosaceae.
GGGAUGAUGUAGACUCGGUUUGCUUGACAAGGUCAUUGAGGAAAAAGUUCGGCUGUUCCUGCGACCUAGUCAAAGUUGAAGAAGUGAAGCCGGCAGUUAAAACUGUGGAAAAGCCAACUCCAGCUCCUUCAGCUCCUUCAGCUCCUUCAGCAAGCUGUGCUCAAAACUGUUGCACUCCCCAGUUUCGUCCAAUGUACUGUGAACUGGUUUGUGAAUAUCCAGAACCAACCACUUGCUCCAUAAUGUAAUUGCGUAAGACAUGAAUUAGUUGAACUUGAUUAUGAUCAUUUUCAUUUUCUCUUUUCCCUUGUAGAUGCAUGGAUCUAAAGUUCAUAAGAAAUAUUUUUAUAUCAAUUGCUUCUCUCUUUGAAAUUUUGUUUGUGUUUCUGCUUGUGCCUUUUUCAUGUGUUUCCUAACCCAUAUGGAAUUGCUCAGGUGCUACGAAACACUUCUGAUCAUAAGUGCUUUUAUCAGAAACACUUUUAUCACAAACAUAACAAGUUUGCAAUCCAAAGAGACCAUCAUUUAUAUGAGUUGCCUUUAAUUAUGUACUUGUACUGAUCCAUACUAAUUUUCGACCAAGAAAUGGGUGAAAGUAGGAUUAUAUAGCAGCAUGUGUGGAUGCAUGGUUAAUCAGGGUGUCAACACACUUAAACUAUCUCUAUUUCUUGAUUUCUCUGCAAAAUGGGUCCUGUCCACCUAAGCUUUCUCCGCGUGUGGCUGGCUGUUAACCACAAGGUCGAAGUUUCAACCAAUCUUCUAGGGGUGCGUUUCUUUUAUUUUUCCAUAAAAAAUGAGUUAUUCCAUUGAUGAAGCAUCAAAAAUACAAUCUAGUCUGUUGUGGGUGUUGUCUAACUUUACGAGUGAUAUGGACUCGCUUGUUGCGGUGACUUUUGUGGGCUUGAGUAUAGAUCAGUGGUGGCUGAGCAGGCCAUCCACUUUAUUUAAUGAAUACGCAAGAUUCUUUUUAAAUUAAGAAAUUGAUCAUUGGAGAUGAUGCACCCAUAUUAUUGUUUUGUUUCAUCAUCAAACUAGGAAAAGAAAAAGGAUAGGGAAGAUCACAGAAUUGAACUUUUUACUUGCCACAUCAAAUAGUGAAUCAUUGUAGUCUAAAACUGUCUAAGUGGUCUAGUGGUUGGAGACGAAUUUUAGACACAUAUUCUACACGGCAUAUGUCCUGGGUUCGAUUCUUGGAGCUGGGUGAAUCACAAGAUGGUGGCCAGGGGAGACUAAAAUGCUUAUAUAAGUCUUCUUGGCCCCCGAAAGAGUAGAAUAUUGUGACAAAGCCACCGGCUAGUCAUCUUUUUAAAAAAUGAAAUAAAACUAUCGUUUCUCUAACAUUUUUCUAUUAUAAAAUAAUAAACUUUUUUUUUUGAACCGGGUAAAAGUUUAAACUUAAUUUCAAAUUCGACUUUCAAUUUGCGUAACAUUGUUCUCCCUCUACGUACUUUGAAGGGAAUUUAUCGAAAGAUGACCAAAUUAAUCUACACCAUGUACUACUCUUGUAGCAAUAGUUCAAUCAUGGCCAUGUACUACUCCCCGGCAAUUGUUCAAUCAUGCCCCCCCCCCCCCGGCGCGGAAAUAGUUCAAUCAUGGCCAUGCACUACUCUUGUGGUCUUCAAUCAUGGCCAUGCACUAGUCUUGUGGUCUCCCCCCCUCCCUAUGACCCCAACUCAAUAACAAAAUAGGGUGUAAUUUCACCACAAGAGUAGAAAUUAUCCAGGGGAUGAUUUCGUUUUGCUUUGAUUUUGGGACUGAAGGUUUCAUUGCGAAAAAACCAUUGGAGGCAACUUAAUUUUUAUGUACAUUACACAUACGAAAACUUUUUACUUGCCACAUCAAAUAGUAAAUCAUUGUAGUCUAAAACUGUCUAGGUGGUUCAGUGGUUGGAGACGAAUUCUAGACACGUAUUCUACACGGCAUAUGUCCUGGGUUCGAUUCCUGGAGCUAGAUGAAUCACAAGAUGGUGGCCAGGGGAGACUAAAAUGCUUAUGUAAGUCUUCUCAGCCCCUGAAAGAGUAGAAUGUUGUGGCAAAGCCACCGGCUGGUCAUCUUUUAAAAAAAUGAAAUAAAACUAUCAUUUAUCUAACAUUUUUCUAUUAUAAAAUAAUUAACUUUUUUUUGAACCGGGUAAAAGCUUAAACUUAAUUUCAAAUUCGACUUUCAAUUUGCGUGACAUUGUUCUCCCUCUACGUACUUUGAAAGGAAUUCAUCGAAAGAUGGCCAAAUUAAUCUACACCAUGUACUAGUUCAAUUAUAGCCAUGUACUACUCUUGUGGCAAUAGUUCAAUCAUGGCCAUGUGCUACUCUUGUGGCCCCCCUCGGCCAAUAGUUCAAUCAUGUCCCCCCCCUCCCAGGCAAUUGAGGGUACAGGCGUACAGCUAGCACAAUGGUGUCCCACCUCCCUCCCUUAUAUUUCCCACCCUCCAUUUUUUUUAUGUAAUUAUUUUAAAUUGUUGAUUAAAUACUUUCUUUUUUUUGUCAAAUACUUUGUUUUCAAAGAUUAAUUGAUUUCUAAACAUAUAUUUGGCACCUUUAUUUUUCUUUAAAUGCACUACAAAUUCAUAUCAUCUUUGAAAAAUUUUCCUAAAGUACUACAGAUUUGUAUCAUUUGAACUUGUAUCUUAUACCAUCAAAUUCAUCAAAGUACUAACGAUAUAAUUUGUGUAUUCUUCUACUUCUAUUUUUGCAUUUUAUCAUUCUUUUAUUAUUCAUACAAUUAUAUUUUUUUUAGGUGUAAAUAGACAUUUAUUUACAAGAUAUAUAAUAAAUUUACAUAAAUCCGCUUGGGCCCCGCCUAGCCGCCUAGGCACUAGACCCCUACCCGCCGCCCGACUAGUGUCUAACGAUUUUUAGAACCUUGUUCUUAUCAAAAUGAUUUUUGAAAUUAAAAAUCCAUCAAUUUGAUCCCUAAAAAUGGACCGCAAAUCAAUUCAAUCAUUUUGUUACAUUUUCAUUAAAUUCUCUGUUAAUAUGCUUAUGUGGCAAAUGAGUGAGUCACAUGGAUACAAUCAUAUGGUGCCACGUGGAUUAAUCAUAAAACCAAUUUUUGUACCUUAUAAGGUGGGGAUCCUACUUUUAACUCUAAAGUUAAUAUGCGCAAGUCAUGAGCACCCUGCUUUUUAAUGUUAUAUAGAAUUGUCUGUAACUAUUGAGCCCAAAGCUAAACAUGACUUUGCAUUUGACUCCAAAGUACUGAACAACUCAUAUAAGCACUAAGUCUCGAAUAUCCCUAAUCAUGAGAUGUAUAAUAUUUGUCACAAUAAAUUGAGUGAGACCUAUUUAAGAUUAAUAUUUUGUUAGUGAAUGCAAAGCCUGUUAUAAAUCUUAAUUAAGUGAUCUCUCUUUUUUUUCGGUAGAUUAAUAUAAAAUAUCGUUUGUAAUACUUUGUGUAAUAAUCAAUAAAAAAAAUGGCGUAAUUUAAAGGCUUGCACAUAUAUAUGAUGGACUUGGAUUGUCUGCCUUCCCCCAUCUCAUCCCCUCCUAUUUUUAUGGUUACGGUUAAGCCACGUCAACAUUUUAUAUUGAUUUUUUUAUAUAGAAUUAAUAAGACAAAAAGCAAUAGAAAUAUAAAAUGUUGACGUGGCUUAACCGUGACCACAUAAAUAGGAGGGUAUGGGAUGGGGAGGGCAGACAAUCCAUGUCCCUUUUUAUUGACCUCUAAAGUACUCAAGUACAAGAAACAAAAAUACCCAACAAAAAUAUAGAGUUUCCGUAGGGAAAACAAUCUAGCCUUCUGUACAAUGGUGCAGCAAAAGAUAGUUAUGAAGGUGCACUUGAGCUCUGAAAAACUCAGAACCAAGGCCUUGAAGAUUGCUGCAGUCGCUAAAGGUAUGCAAAAUAUAUGCACCGAUCUUUAAACUUAUGGCCAUCCUCAUCCACCAUCUAAAGGGAUCUUUUAGUCCAUAAAAUAUCUAAAAGCCAUCUCCAGCAAGCAGGUUAUAAGUAGGUGCACUUGAGCUCUGAAAAAACAUGUGUUGUUCUUGUUUCAGCAGCUAAUCUUUCAAGCACUAAUGUAUGGAUUAAUGUAUAAUAUUUGAGAUCCUAUUUGUUUUUUAUUGACUGAUGCUUCAACAUCAUCCACCUAAUUCAUAUCACACAUCCAUAAAUACCUGAGAACGCUUAUUCCUACCACCAUUACGUUGUCACUUUCGUAUGUUUUUUCAUUGAGAAGAAAAUGAAAGAGCAUCACGAAAAACACUAACAAUUUCAACUCUAAAACGUCACCUUAUUCCUAUAACCCACCUCAAUCAACAACAAAGGAAGAAAAAUAAUUGAUCCCUUCAAAGAUGCUUUCGUGAAAGCUAAAAGAUGUCCUACCCAUCCAAAUGAAAACGGGAUGUUAUUUUCAGUCCCAUGUGAUAUCGGCACAGUGGAGGGCAAAAAGAAGAAAUAAAUGUUAGAAAGACAGCUACAUCACAACCCAAAGAUUAAUUAAAGAAAAAAUAUCCAAAAUGUAUGUCAGAUAUUUUGAAAUUAUAAAUACAAAUCCAAAAACAAAAAAAUAACAAACAAGAAAAAGUCUUGAACAAUUGGCUAUAUGGGAUAAAUUUAAUAUGUUACUAUAAUUCUCAUCCUCUUAUGAAUAUCAUCAGCAAACUCAUAUUUUUCACUCUUACGUAGAAUACCAUAAACCUCCUUUAGCACGCCCUCAGGGUCCUCUAUCUUUAUGGGUCUCUUAGAAUCAGAGUCUUCCAGCACAGCAAAGACCUAGGAAAGAAAUUAUAAUUUGAACACUAUCAAGUUAAGCACGUUUGCAAUCAUACAGGUCAGAUUUCUUUUUUAAAAUAAUCAUUUCAAAAUGCCUUUCUUCAAGGAGAGACAAUUACAAAGAGAGAAAGAAUAAUACCUGUUUUUUAUUAAGACGGUAGCAAAAUUCGUUAUAGAGUCGUCCUCCAAGCUUUUCAUCUUUUAUAUCAACAAACACUAAAACUGGGCAGCUUGGUACAUCAACAGAAGGUUUACCAUCCAAAUCAUGUUUGAGCAAUUCAUCAUGUAUAUACAUCUCCUUCAAGAGAGGGACCUACAAUUUGAUCCGCAGUAUUCGUAUUGCAUGUAAAACUAAUUUUGGGGAACCAAAUCUUGGCAAAUAUAAGAAUCACCCUAUUUAGUUCACUUCUUCAUAAGGGGUAAUCUUAUAUAAAAGAACUUGAAACAAAUUCAAGGUACAGCAGCAUCAAAUACUCAGCAUUAGUCUACUCCACGAAAUUCAAUAUUAUAUGUAUAUAUACAAAACCCAUCAACGAAAAAGAGGGGUUUAGAAGAAUACUCAAUCUCACGAAUCUGCUCCUCAGCUUCACAGACGCGUAGAUGCCUUCAAAAUAGAGACCCAAAUCCUAGACUCAGAGAGAGAGAGAGAGAGAGAGAGAAAUAUUUAGAAAUUUUUAGACAACAACUCUCACAGAAAGACAACAAUGUUUUGGGACGACGACCCUCACAAAAAGAGAACAUCGUUUGACGGCGAGAGAGCACAAAGCAAAACGAAAACGAAAGUUAAAACAAAGGAAGAUGCAGUCAAACGAAGCGGGAAGCAACAGAGCAAAUUUCUGAGAGAACACGAACCCAUCACUGAUAUUAAAAUUAUUUUUGGGUAAAUUGGGUACGAGUGAGGGUACUGACCUUCUCCGGGCAUCUCGUGUUUGAAAUUGGAAGAGUUUAAGAUGCGAUUUUGGUGGAAAAUGGGCAGCGCUCACUAGAAGAAAAAAAGCUCAUCCAUCACGGUGAAUGCUCGUAAUAAAUUGUAAUCCACCACGGGUACUGUGCCCGUUAGUAAUCUGGAUGUGAUAAAAAGUCUUAGUUUCUACCACAGGUUAUGCCCGUUGUCAAACAUAAUGUAACCACGGAUUGUGCCCGUGAUAGAUUGGAAUUUAACAUCACGUGUUACGACCGUUGUGAAUUAUUUAUUGACCACGGUUAAUGACCGUUAUAAAAAAAUUUCCACAAAUAAAAAAAAUAUCUAUUUAAUAAAUAUAUAUUUAAAUAUUUAUAUACUAAAUAACCAACAAAAUUUCAUAUUUAUUACAAUAUAAUAAAUUACAGAAUAACCAAAACCGAAAAGGAAAUCAAUAUGAUAAUUAGGAAAAUUUAUACUAUUUAUUAACAUAAGGUUCUUUGUCAACCAAAAUUGCAGAAAAUUGUGGUAAGAAUCACUUCACUUCAAUUCAAAUAGAUUAUGAUUAAGAAUAAAUAUGUAAAACACAAAAUAAAAUAAAUGAAAUGUAAAAGGAGGGAAACCGCACGUCUCCCUUCUUCUCCCCCUUUUCUCUCUGCCUUUAUCUCCAAAUACAUAACUGCUCCACGUUUUCCUCGUCACAAUAAUGUCUCUUUUCCUGAACUCACGUAUUUUGCAACCCAAACUGCUUCCAUACUUUAUAAUGUUUAAUUCCUUUUCGAACUCUACUGAAGUAAGAAUUAAUCUGCAAGUUUCAGUUUGUAAGACAUAAAAAGUCCACCCAUUGAUGCACUUAAGUGGCUAACAUUUCAUGUAAAAUUUAGAUAACCCUAUAUUUGUUAUUUGGUAUAACUUAUGAUAUAUUGGAUCGAUGCAUGCAUACCGCCAUGGUGAUCCUUGAUUGCAGCACAAGGAAGACACAUACCUAGCACAAAGGAGGAGGCAAGCAUGCCGCCAUGGCGACCUCUGAUUGCAGGUCGGCUUCUCCAGUCAAUAGAGCCUUCCCAUUUAGUGAUGAGAUUCUGUUCUUGCCCCUACAGUAACCAUUACCAAAACUCAUGAGGUUUAGGAAAAACCAGGCAUGAGAGGAAAUAAAGUGUAAGGGAUGAAAGAAAAAAAAAGGAUAAAGAAAGAAAGAGGAAACCACCAUUUUCUAUCUUGUGAGCCUUUUUUUUUCCCAUUUGGCGAUUCAAUUUAAUUUGGAUCGGAUCCCUGGUGCCAUAGGAUUUUGAUUAGAAAUAAAAAGGAGCGACUGGAGAUUUAAAGAGUUUGUGAAAUUUUCAAAUCUCAAAGAUGUUUGAAAUUUCCCAAAAAUUCGGUGUCUCGCCUUUUCUAAAUAUUUUUCAUUAUGUGUAUGAUUAUACCACACAUUAUGUCCGUGGUUGAUAACAAAAAUGCGCUGUAGAACUAACAAUAUUGACCACGAGCAUUGUCCGUGGUGGCUUAGUAUAUUUACAACGUGCAACUUUGCGUGUGGUCAUUCACCGUUAUUUUACAACGGGCUAAGAUUUGUCUGUGAUGAAAAAUUAAUUUUUAUAACGUGCGUAUUAUGCCCGUGGUAAAAUUUUAUUUUUACAACGAGCUCAUAAAGUCCGUGGUAAAAUUGUCGUGAUAGAUGUGUUGUUUUCUUGUAGUGGCUGCAGAGAGAACAAAGCAAGUCCAUGUUUCUAUGGUAUCAAAAUUGCAGAAAUCAAACAAUGUAGAUGAGGAUUUUGAAGAUUCUGAAUCUAAGAGAAGAGAAAUUUACCUUUGGGGAAGAGUGGUGGCCGCUGCUGCUGAAACUGAAAAGAUUUUGGCAAAUAAGGCGAGAAGGAAGACAGUGGGAGUCGGCAACUCAGAAUUUCAGCCAAACAUAAAGAGAAUAUGAAGAAAGAAAUAGUUUUGUAAGAUGCUGAGAAGAAAAACAGGGAACAAUAGGGUUUUACCUGAGGACUCGAGCUGGGCUCUAAGACGUAGACCUCCCUCUCCCUUCUUCUCCCUGACAUUCCACACCCUCCCCCCUUCUCUGUCUGUAACUAAUACAGCCCAAACAAAAUGUAAUGUUUACAUGUAUAUCGCUAUUUGUAACGUUUAAAUAAAUACACAAUCAAACGUUUAAAUAAAUGGUUGCAAAUGAUCCGACUGUUAAAGAGUAAAUUCAUAAGAACUUACCAUGCACUUGAGCAUUUUUCAACAUUCCAUUAAGCACAGACAAAAUGUAAUCUACACGUAGAUGAGACAAGACAUGUUUAGGUGUUAAGCCAAAUGCAAGAAGUCAGACAAGUGAAGAAAUAAGAACCUUGACAGCUCAUCAUUUCUUAUACUUUGGACUCAGCGUUGGAAAUUUGUCUACCAGGCAUAACAUCUGAAACAUUAUUUAUUCAUAUGAAUGUGAGAAUGAUUACUUUCAAUGGCAUUCCAUCUAGAAAUGUAAAGGGGUAAUUUAAUUCAUCUAUACUUCACCGUGUUCAUGACUUGCAAAUUUUCUAAACAACACAAUAAAUAACAGAGAUUAGGGAGAGUUGAAUCAAAGGAAUCAGUAGUGUAAAACUGACAACAUGCUUACAAAUUCAACUCCAGUUGUGCUGAUGUAGCUAUCCAAGUAUGAAUCAUCCUGUUCAACGAUUCCGAAGCACAGAAAAAAAUUGCAUGAGAAAAUUGAGAUCAUAUGCAAUUGUAUGUCAAAUAACCUGAAAUAUAACAUAUAUCCAAUAUUAAGUGCAUACACGUACAAACUAAUCUUUAUAUAUACUUUAAAAUAAUACAAAUCAAGGGAAUCUAAAACAUUGGAAACAUUAUCAUACAAUUAAAUAAUCACGAUGCAGAAAAUUUUAUUUGCAUUAUUUUCAGAUAACUUUUCACCCCACAACACUAAGACAGAAAGCAUACCCAAACCAAUAGUGGCGUUCCAACCACUGCGAUUUCACAAACUUCUCAAUGGAGGAAGAAAAACACAAAAUACACUACUUGAUCACUUGUGGUUGAGCUUUUAUCGCUCAACCUGUCUUUAUCUUUGUGUAGCUCUCUGACUGAAACAUUAUUCAUAUAAAAUUUCAUUACAGUAUAAAGUAUACUUAUAUAUAUAUAUAUAUAUAUAUAUAUAACAUAAUAACCUUCUAAAAGCAAUAUCUUUUAAAAAACAUUCCAUCAAUUGAACAUUACCUCCCUGACACACCCCGUCCCGAAGGAGGGCGUGUUGGCCGUCACGUGAGAGUGACGUAACCAUUUACACAGUUCGGAAGCUCUUAAAAUACAAUUACUAAAUGGAAACCCUCGAGGGUGAGUCCUACUUUUGUGAAUUCUGUCAUAACGUCGUUGGGUUCCUCGUGGCCACCAAAGCUCUGCUAACUUAAACUUGGAGGGGCGAAAAACAAAAUUGAGUGGGUCAGUAAAACAAAGUUUUUCAAAAAUCUUUCGCCAAAAACAAUUCUAACCCCUCACCGUAAAACCUGUAUACUUUCCCAGAAAAAUAGUAUAUAAACAUAUAUAUAUACGCAACAUCAAGACUCGGCUCAUGUCCAUCAUCAUAACAUCUCAGAAAUGAUAUGCCAUGCCCAAAUAUAAUCAGAAUGCAUCAAUGACAAUAAGGUGAAAUAAUAAAUCAACCAGAGACUCUACAAUGGUCAUGUACGGCUGAUUCUAAGGCUCAACAUCCAAUCUAACCGGAGUCACCUCGGUGACCUGUACGGUUCAACUCUGCACGUCACUCGGAACUACAUAUAGUAGUCUGUACGAUGACAGGUGUAUGAAUACGCUCUAAUGCUUCUCUCAUCAAUCAUUGACGCGCAUAACUAAGGUCACCUACUAGUUGGAAUCACAUCUAGUGAUCUGUACAACUAGCAUGUCGGAACCCUCACAUGGUCUGUACGACAUCCACCUACUUGGAUCCAAGACGAGCGUGCGGUGUGGUGAAUAACAAUAUAAGCACUAUCACCUAGGUGCAGGUUAUGAACUUUCAAUGCAAUUCAUAUAAAUAACUCAGCUGAAUAAUAAAUAAACUCACAUGAGCGUCCACCGCGUCAAUUCACAUAUAUAUGCAUCAAUAAUCAAACUAAAUAUCUCAAUAAUUUUAUGCAUGGCAAAUAAAUUCAUAACUUUCAUAAAAACGUAUUUUCUGGGAAAAAUAACUGUAUAUAGGUAAUACGAAAUCAAAAUUGCCCACUCACCUGGAGUUCGUCCAACAACUCCCUAGCACCACACAUCAAGGCGUCAUGACGAUCGCCGCCUAGAACAGUAAUCAAAUCCAACCUCAGAAUUCAUAUCGAGAGAAUAUAUAACUUGUAUAAAAUACGUCACUACGUAGUUCGAUCCGGGAGAUCUGCAAUUCCGAUUUUAAAUCCAUAACUUCCAGAGGUCCACAAUAUACCUCUAGGACAACAUCCUAAAAUUUCAUUACCAUCCAACGGUCGGAUCUCCGUCAAUUUCCAAAACCAAGUGACGGUUAACAUUCUAUAUUAUGGACUUACAACUCCAAUUCCGGAAGAUCCGCAAAUCGGAUUCCCAAUCCGUAAAUUCCUAUAAUCCUCAAAUAUUACGUAUUACAACGCAUCAAAGUUUGGUGACAAUCCAACGGUCGGAUCGUCAAUUCACCUUUUCACCUAAAUGCGAAACUAUAAAACGUUAUUUAAAGCACCUAACCAACAAUCCUUAAUAACUUCUCAUAUGGUGCUCAAUUUGGGUAUAUGAAUAUACCACAUUGACCUACUCGACGUCACGGACGUCGACAAAUUUUUAAAAUAAUUUUUUGAUGUGGCACGCGCCCCCACGCGCUAUGGAAAGCACGGGUCCACGUGCGCCCACGCGCACCUUCUUCCUCGCGAGCUUGCCGAACUGGUUUUUCCGGUGGCCGGAAAAUUGGGGAAUUUUCAAAUGCUUCGUUCUCCUUCGUUUCUCAACCAUUUUCUUCGUAUAAUAUAUCAAUUUGAAGCCCUUAACAUGUAGAAUCACAAUAGACUAGUUUCAAGGUCCAAAAUCCACUAGAUUUUACCUGAGGAAGCACGAUAAUCCGACGUCCAAUUUUGAAAAACUCCUAUCUCGAUCCUCCGACGUCCAAAUUCUACCAACAAAGUACUACUAGACUCGUGUGGACUCCCUUAAGCUUCCUACAAGCUUGAAAUUUCCAAAAACACAAGUUUUAACGUUUGCAUGAAUAGUACCCCCAAAUCGGGUUUACUGUUUCAACGUGAAUACGAAGCUAUCCUUACCUGAAAAUGGUAUGGUUGAGUUCGUGGAGUCCUCACAAGCACGAUGGUGCCUUCAAAACCCUCGAUCCAUGAAGUUUCAGGGUUAUAUGGUGGUGGUCCGUACAUUCGAGAGUGAGGGAGAGAAAGGAAGAAUUGAGAAGGAGAGAAAGAUAGAGGGCACGUGGAAAGUGACAGGGUGUCCCGUGUGUGUGUGGUCCCUCAAAACCAUUCCAUCCCUAUUUCCUAACGACAUAAAAAUACAUACCAAAUUUUAAAUCAACCUUUAAUCCAAUUUAAUUAAUUUUCCAAAAACUUAGGAACCAUGAAAUGUUCAAACAUAUCACACACACGUACCUUAAUACUCGCUAAGGGUAAAUCCGUCAUUUCACAUUCCCGUCAAAUGUAUCUCCGGGACGGGCUGUGACAUCCUGUCUAAGAAAACUGAUGACAAUCGCAAGCUAAACUAUGAAAUACCAAAUUAAAUACAGAAUAAUCACAACCCCAAACCAAACAAAACCCCAAUCAAUUAAAAAAAACAAUCAGAGUUGGAAAAUCCUUUAUGCAGAAACGUGAAAAAGAACAAAUCAGAGAUGCACUUACACCACAAUUCAUGAUCAUUAUCCAAAAUUUGCAGAGCAAACAUACAAUCAAACAGAUACCUCUCUAUUUUUCAUCUCUCUCUCCCUGUUAUUUGUAUUGUGAUAAGGUUUAUGAUAAACAAUGAUUUUACCAAAAUUUAAUAAUAAAAAACAUCACAGUAGAAGUUUAACAUGAGAGAAAGAGUCAAUCUCUACCUUUGAUGUGUUGAUCCUACCAUCCCCUUGCAUGCUUGAUCUCUACAUAAAAAUAGAGUUUGGUUGGUGAGAAAAUGCAGAGAAAACGAACAAAAUUUAAUGUAAUUCAUAAUUUACCAGUAUUAAUAGAACCAAUAACUUAAUAACAGUUUUACAUCAUUAAUUAGUAGAAAACAAUACAUAAAUACAACCCAACAAAAUAAACAUACUGCAUUCAUUGCUGAAGCAGGGAGCCAACCUCCAUGCUGCUAUUGUGCAAAAUCCAGCAGAGGAAUCACUGCAGACUGUUUGUAGUUGGAUGGAUAAUGGGAUAGUAUCUCUUUCACCUAAAACUUAAAAAAAUGACACUUUUUAGAACUCAAAAAACAUAAAAAUAAUUUUGCAAGUGGCAAAUAAUGGAUAUAAUCAAUGCUCGUGGUUUGAUAGCUCAAUUCAAGAACUUAUAUAACAUCAUCAUCAUAUGAAUUAGUAGGAUCACUUUCUAAAAUUCAAUAAAUAACUUGGGGAAAUUUAAACCUUAUAGGACAAUCCAAUUCUAGUAACUCAACUUAGCAACGUGGUUGGAACGUUCAGCACCCCUUACACUCUAGUUAUGUAUAAAUUCAAAAUUGAGCAUGUUUGAAUUAAGGGUGCUAAGAAAAUCCUAAACCUUUUAUACACAUCUUUGCUUAAAUAUCGAGGCUUGUAAUGUUUGACAUAAAUAGUUCAGCCUAAAGCACACAUUGACAACCAAAUUACACAAUCUUUCUCCUUUUUUCAUCUUUUCACAACGACAUGUCUUUCGCCAAAGUUACUGCAUUGCAUUGCCAUUGAAUAAUAUCCUACAAACUAAUUAGGCAAAUGGGUCGCUGAAAUUCACUACAAAAAUGCUCCGCAAAAUUAUUAAUUCCAACAAAAUUGAUAGAACCGAGUGGAAGUUUGUAAGACCCAUUUGCAGGAAGGAAAUGGGUGCUUUGUAGAAAUUGAAAAGAUGGAAAAUCGAUAGUUCAUGAUUUUGGUAGUCCAGAUUAGAUUAGCUUUAGACUCUACCAGUUUAUUGCAUGCCUGCCUUUUAUCCAUAAUUCAUGUCCUAAUUUAUCUGUUUAGGUUUUAGUUCUUGCCUUUGGGAAAACCCAAAAUCUCUACCUCAAACGCCCAUCUGCAACCACACUCCUUACACCCCCCCCCCCCGUCUCUUUCCCCAACCCCUGCUUCACUAAAUGACACACCCAUAACUCUCUCCCCACAGCCAAGGAGCAACCAAAUUCAACUCCAAUAUAAUAAAACUUAACAAAAUACCCAUUUUCACUCACUCCAAUCCUCUAAGAACCCAUAAUUUUUUUCAAUCAGAAAAAGUAAAAAUUAAGCAUUGACUUAAAUCCUGAUAAAAUGAGUAAGUAAUCAGCAACACUUGGUUCAAAAUUUUACAAAUUCACCAACAAUACACUUCAACACAUCCCCAAACAGCUCAGAAAUAGUGAAAUUUGAUUCGAUUCAAUUCAAUUCAACUCGAUUCGAUUCAAUUCAAUUAAUUUCAAUUCAAUUAGUUCAAUUCAACAAUUAUAAUCAUUAAUAUUAUAUUGGAACUAAAUUGAUUGAUAAGACACCUUUAAAAUCAUAAAUCUGAUAAGCAAUCUCACAAUUAACGCAGAUUAUGUUCAUAUCAAAAUCCAUACAGAGAUACAAAUUUGGAAAUAGAGUGUAAAUUCCAUCAAACACGAAGAUAGAGAGAGAGAUAGAGACUACCUGCUAUUGCUUGGCAACCUGAUCUCUUAGCUUCUUGAUUGCCUCCAUUGCAGCUCAGCUGUAGGUAGUCUCGAUUUUUCAAAGUUGUGCUUCAAGCCUUAAUCUAGACUCUAGAGGCUGAGUGAGUUUAUAAAAAAUAAUAAUUUAAUAAGAAAUUAACAUUGAAAAUAAAUCAAGAACCCAAAAAAAAAUGAAAAUUUCAUACCUCUAAGUUUAUGGGUUUAACUGUGGAAUCCAAUUGAGAACCACUAAAAAAAGGGAAAACUGACCAUAACACGUUAGACAAUGCAAGCAAAAAAGGGAUUUCAGUGGAAUUGAAAAGGCAGAAAUUAACAACCAAACCCAUUUAAUCAUACAACCAAAACCCAAUACCCAUUUAAUCAUACACCAAUGAAAAAUCUAAACACAGAGUCACAAAUUAACGAACUGAAAACCCACAAAAAGAACCAAAAAAGAAAAAAGAAAAAGGAAAUUGACCUUAAAACAAAGAACAAAACACAAAACAGAGAGAUGCAUCCCCAACAGUAUAGAAUCGAAUUAAAAAUUGAACUUAGCUCAAAAACACUUACCCUUCAACGUUUGGAGCCUCAGAAAAAUUUAUGAAGUUCACGCAAAUAUUUUUAGGUCUCAAUGCACCUAUCUUGCAAACCAACAAAAAUGAAAAUGCAUUAACACAAAUGCCAAAACCGAUUUCUAAGAUUUUAGUAUUCUCUUUACCCUUGCAACCGAAAAAAAAAAAACGCAGAAAAAUGAGCAAGAAGCUUAAGCAAAAAAAAAAUCAUAUUUUCAACCACCAAAACCCAAUACCCAUUUAACCUGAGAUUUCAGUGUUCUCUUUACCCUUGCAACUCAAAACAAAAAAUCCCAGGAAAAUGAGCAAGAAGCAUAAGCAGGAAAAAAAAACAUAUUUUCAACCACCAAAACCUAAUACCCAUUUAAUCAUACACGAACGAAAAUCUAAACACAGAGUCAUAGAUCAACGAACUGAAAACCCACCAAAAAAAAACCAAAAAAAAAAAAAAAAAAACUGACCUUAAAACAAAGAACAAUACACAUAACAGAUAGAUGCAUCCCCAAAAUGAGAGAAAAUAACAGAAAACGAAAUAAAUAAGGGAACCCCCAAAACCUGACCCAACAGUGCAACAAAUCCAGAAAUAAUUCACAGUAAAAAGGCUGAAAUGAUGACAGUCUAUACUAACAGUAAAGAAUCCAAUAACAAAAGGAACUUAGCUUUCUAAAUCCAGCCACUCAUCCGACACGCAAAAAGGAACAGACGAUCUAGAGUGAUUCAUGGACUGAGGGGCCUUACUCGGCUCUGUUUACCAUCCCAACCCCUCCCUCUCUGUUUCUCUCCCUAUUAUCCGGACAACCACUCUCUCUUUUUCUCUUUCUCUCGCGCGCUACUCGCUUAACUUCGGAAUUCCAACGGAACUGAAGCCAGUGAGCUCCCAAAAGCCCUCAUGCUAGCUAGGGAUGAGAAUAUACAUAUAAGGAUCAAUCCCCUGAGCGAUGUGGGAUCUUACAGCCUAGCCUUCACGUGAUCGUUCACCUCCCGCACCACACGCUUACCUUGGAUCCAAGGCAGGUGCCAGCCUGUCGUACAGACUACAUUAGGUGGUUCUGACUCGUAGGUGACUUGCGAUACUUCGCACAACCUUCACGUGAUCGUAGCACUUGAGCGUAUCUAUUUACAUCUAGCCUGUCGUACAGACCACAUUAGUUGGUUCUGACUCGUGUGCAUGAAUUGGUUAUGAGCUAUAGGUUCAGCCGUACAGGUCGCAUUAGGUGACUCCGACUGACAUUUCAUAUUAUAUGAUUCACAUCACCUGGCUUACAUAUUUAUUACUGAAAUACUUGACAUGGCACUCACUUUGGUUUUCAUUACUCUCAAGCCUGAUUUCUAUAUACUUAUGUAUUAUUAUUUUCUGGAAAAUUAUACGGGUUUUACGGUGAGGGAUUAUUAUUUUUGAAAAGAGAAAUAGUUUCAAAAAGCUUUGUUUUUGCCCACUCACGUUUUUUGUUUUCGCCCCUCUAGGUUUUAGCUGCUGAAGUUCGUAUCGACGAGGAUUCUUGGCGAAUCUCAGUAUAGGUGGCUACCUCUGAGGGUAUGAUCAUUACCCACACUACUGUACUUUACUUAUACUUUGACGUCACGUGUGAAAUGAAUCCAUUCCUGCUCACAUCUCACUCUUGUAUUUAGCUACUUUUAGGUUUAAAUUUAUUCACAUUUUUCACAUCACUACAUUUUAUGGCUUCGUCACCUUCCAGGUGUCGGCCAACACAACUCGAUUCGGAGUCCUAGUGGACAUACCGGGUCGGGGUGUGUCACCUACACUAUAAAAUUUAAUUUACCUAUUGUUUAAUUUUUAUAAAAUAAUGUAUCUACUAUACAAAAUAAUGUACCUACAAUAUAAUUUGCCUAAUGAUUAAUUUUUAUUAAUAUAGGUAAAUUAAUAUAUAUAUAUAUAUAUAUAUAUAUAUUUGUGUUUAUAGUAUUUAUGAUACAAGAAAGGUAUAUUUUCAUAUGGGUUUAAUUGGUGAUCAUAAUUAGGGUGAGUAAUUAUAUUCAUUGACAAGAUUAGAGCUUUGUGACAUAAGUUGUAAAUAUGUUGGAAUAAUUGGCUACAUAUUUGUCUACAUGGUAGUCUAUUCGAAAUUUGGGUGUUAUUUGAAUAUUUAAUAUUAGAUAGGAUUUUGUUUGGAAAAUAAAAGUUUCAAAGGUCUAUCUCUAAAAAACCCUAGAAAUUAUUAUAUUACUUUAGUCUAAAGUAGGAGGGAAAUUGGCACUAUUCAUGUGAAUAGUGUUUUGGACCACAUUUCAGUUUAUUUACAAUAUUGCCACUCGAAUGCUUUUACCCAUCUUUCUCUUUAUUUACAAAAAAAACCCCUCAGGCUUCAAGCCCGAUUUGUAGCCUUUGGGCUGCAUCUCAGGUUUGACUCGGGGAGAAAGAGGGGAUGGGGACAUAAGGGCUGACAAAUUGGAGAGAGGAGACAGCUGGUUGUGGCUGUGGCUGUGGCUGUGGCUGUGGCUGUGGCGAGAGGAGAGGAGGGGCACAGAGGGACGGACAGAUUGGAGAGAGAUGGGAGCUACGGGUGAUCUUGAUGCCGCGUGUUGAUAAUCGUGGAAAGGUCGGGGUGCGAUGGUCGCUUUAGUCUGUAGGGUUUCGAACGGAUUGGGUGGGUUAGGGAGACUUUCAUUUCCUUUCUUUCUGUGAUCUGCAGAGGGACUCGGUGAGACCAUGCCGUCAGGAGAGAGAGCAGGAGGGAGAGAGAGGGAUUUGGUGAGGGGAAGGCAUGCGGCUUGCAGAGAUGAGGAUGAGAAAGGGGGAGGGACAAAGGAAGAGAGAGAGAUAGGGAUUGGGUGAGGGGAAGGCAUACGGCUUGCAGGUAGACAGAGUCACAGGGGUGUACGAUUCAAGGGAGAGAGAGAGAGAGAGAGAGAGAGGAGAUUGAGUGGUGGCAUCACUCUUACUACCUGCACUCCUGAGGCCGGCUACCAGAGAGAAGGACACAUGAGAGGAGAGAAAGAAAGAAAGAGAGAGCGCGCAGAGGCAGGAAGGCCUGAGAUUGAGGACAAAGGCCAUGGUUGCACAGAAUGACUGAGAUUUGAAGCCCAUGACAGCCUCAGCUGAUUGAAAAGGUGAGGAGUCGUUUUCAAAUCUUUUGUGCUUUAGGAUUAGGUUUACAAACUCUAUUCAUAUCAUGCAGCUUCAGAUUCGAAAUUGUGAUUUUGGUCAGCAAACCCAGCUCCAAUCAUCUACAAAUCAAACCUCACGAAGUAAAGCACUCCGAUUCCGAUUCAUAUCAUGCUUCUGAUGGAUCUGGUUGUGGUCUCUGUGUAUUUGCGCAUCCAUAUAACUCUGAUUUGUCCAACAUGCUCAUGGAUUUUUUUGUAUGAUUUUGCAGGGCAAAUUACUAUAUUGCCUAUUUUCCUUUCAAAUCCAACGGGUCGAGGCAGGCUAGAGCUGGUAUAGAUUACAAAUAUUAGUUUUGCAUAGCACUGUAAUUUUGAUUGGUGAGAUCGGCCUCAUUAAAAAAAAAAAAAAAAAAAAAGAACAGCCAUCUUUCAAUUCAAUAGUAAAGGCCUUCAUUCAAAUAUGAGUUUUGCAUAGCACUAUAAACAUUAUAUGUAGUUACAGAAUUGCUGUUUUGAUUGGUAGCUCUAUUGAUUUUUGUUUAGUUGAUUUGAAUUUAUACCGAAUUUACUUAAUUUUUAGUACAAUUAUUUGCUUUCUGGUUUUUAAUUUAAAGACUAGGAGUUUGAAUGGUGUAGUGGAGGUUGAUGUUGUUUCCCACAUUUUUGUUAUGAAUUCUCAAUGUUUGAUGAAUUCGGGAAAUCAAUUUUGUUAUCUCUUAUGCAGUUAUGAUCGUAUGAGUUGGAAUUUAGAUUUCACACACAUGUAAACUGAAAAAAUAAAAUAGAUUUCGUAAUUCGAAGUUAGCCGACCCCACAUGAUGGGAAAAGGCUUAAGAAGAAGAAGUUAGCUCUAAACUAUAGAAGCAUGGAAGUUUAUGUGGACCUUAGAUUGUUUUGAAAAAUAAUUGAUUGAUUCAAGAAAGCAAAGACCUUGGAACCUUAACUGUCUCAUUGUAAUCCAUCACCAAGUUCUGGUAAUUUAUGUUCUAUUUUUUCAGUCAUCUGAAACUGAAUUGCAUUUGGGUGUUUGUCUUUGAUGCUAUUUUUUGGAUGUAGGUAACUAGAUUCUUAUUCUCUGGGAAUUGUAUUCGUUUGUUCAAUCUCAGUAUUUUACCAAUAUUCUCACGAUGUCCUUUGUUUUUAAUCUAUAAUUUAUUUUGUCCAAUUCAUGAAAAAGUUGAUGAAAAAGUUGCAGUUUCGGAAAUGACUGUCAGCAAUCAAGAUGUGAAAAAGAAGGUUCCUUUUUCUUAUUUUUGUUUCCAAGUUCUUCUUCUGGUCUAUUUUGUGGAUAAAAAAAAAGGAUCUUUCGGCAAACAGAAUGGUGUUUUUUUUAUCAGAUUUUGUUAAUUAAUUGGAUUUUGUGUUUACCCUUUCAUUUCAGUCUUUUAUUCAUAAAAUCUUCACCUCAAAGGAGAAAGAAGGAAGCGGCUCUUUGGAUUUCUCAGGUGAGUCUCUAAUGGUUGACUGCAACUGAAUAUCCUUCUUCCUUUCUUCUUUGUUUGAAACAGUGAUAACUCAGUCAACUAUGAGUAGAUGUAUAGUGGCCUGCUUCAGUGCUCACUUGGUAAAGUUUUUUGGUCACAUAAAGGUGCUAGAGUUGGGAACUUUUUGGAUCUUAAAUCAUUGGUUGCCUAACAUUCUCUAUAUUGAAAGGCAUCAUUUUUGUUACCACAUUUUAUAUAUUUUAGACAAUGAAUAUGAGUGCAGUGGACUCUGAGUCAGUGAACAGGGAGUUACUAAUUUUGUUAUAUGAGAUUUGGUUAAAUGUCUAAUACACAUGGUUGCUGAGGUUUGUUUACAUUGGUGGUAAAUUCUUGCUUUCUUUUCAAUUUUGUUUUAUUGUAAUUCGUCUUGGUUUAUGGAUCUUGCAUUGCUGACGUGAAAUGGUUAUAUUUCAAUGUUUGUGAGAUGUCGAAUUGUGUGUUUGUGGCUUAGUGAGAGUUAGAUUUAGAUUGUGUAGAAAAUGUGGGCUUCGGAGUGUAACCCAAUUAGCAAUUUGGAGUGAUUGAGGAGAAGUAUUCUGAGCUGCAGUAGGACUUGGUGAGACCAUGCCGUCAGGAGAGAGAGCGAGCGAGCAGAGAGAGAAGAGGGAGGGAGGGAGAGAGAUAGGGAUUUGGUGAGAGGAAGAGAAAGGAGGGAUGUGACUUUUGACUCGGGGAGAGAUAACUGUGCCUGUUGCUUCGGUCAGAGCAUUGUUGGGGGAGGAGGACAGAGGGACUGACAGAUUGGAGAGAGAUGGGAGCUAGGGGUUUUGACUCGGUGAGAUUGUGAGGGAGAGGGGGAUGGCAGAGACAGAUGAGAGGGAGCUGGGCGUGGGAAUUGCAGAGAGAGAAAGAGAACUCAGAAGAUAUUUGUUUUGUUGAGAGCUGACAAGAAAAGGGGAGAAACAACGGCAAAGUGACAGAAUUUGAGAAUCUGAAGAAAAAAAUGAUUAGUGGGGUUUUAGCUUGUGGCACUUUCUUCCCUGCUUUCUAAACACAUUUUUCUCAACACACCCCUUCAAGCUCUGGAAGUGUUUGCUCAAAUUGGAGCUCAAAAGCGUCAAAUUUUAUGGAACAAAUGGUCUCAAAGAAGCAGAUUACACUGCGCAGUAGCAGCGCAGGACGCGGUGGGCCUGGGUUUGGUAUUGUUCAUACCUCUGUUUCUUCAAUUUUUUUAAUUUCUUUUAUAUGCAAUUUCUGUGCAUGCUGCUGAAAUGAAUAUGGUGGUGGAAACUGUUGUUUUAUAUGAAUUGGGUUUUUCACUACAUUAAUAAAGAUCAAAUCUUUGUGGUUCUUUGUUGUUUAUCUCAACCUUGCUUUGCCCACAGCCGCUUGAAGAUGACGUGUUCCUGAUAGUCGGUCACUUCCGUGACAGUUCCGAACGAAGGAUUCGGCUCCCAAGCUCCGAUGAUUGUGUCUGGCAAAGAGAAUUCAGGAAGAGUGGAAGAUCCAAGAAGGAUUUGCCAGGCGAGUUCUUUUGUUUUUUAUUUUGAAUUUCCUUUUAAAUAACUGUUUUGAAUUAAUGGUAGUGAAGUUUUCUCAUACUUAGCCUAUUCAUUUUUAUCAAAUAUUUUGCACUGACUAUUUCAUGAUGCUGACUGAUGUAAUUAAUUUGGUUUUGUACUGAAAGUUGGAGUUGAGAAUAUAUGGAAUAUAGUUGUUGGAUUGGUGUUUGUACUAUAGAAACUUAGGUGUGCUCACCCCCUUUUCAUGGACAUCCAUAGCUUAUGAGACGCUGUUCAAGUCGGACCACUGGUGAAUGCCUAAACUGUUGUGCUUAAAUAGAUUCAUCAACUCAAUAUUGUCGUUAAUUUUUGUUUUGAGUCCAUUUUCCCUGCUGCUGUUCUAUUAGGAUUAUAAGCUCAGUCGUUCAGGCAUGACACAUUUUCAGUGGGAAGUCAUAAGCAUAAUUCAUUUUUUUUUAGAUUAGACUCAAGAUUUUUAUUUGCAUUAUUCUUCCGUUUUACAAAUAUAAUUGGCUGCCUUAAUGAUUGUUGAUGAAUCAUCACGAAAGUCCAUUUCUCUUUUAAUCAUUGACUAUUUUUUUUCUUCUUCAUUGGCAGUCGAGGCAAAAGGUUCUUGCGAUUUCAAUCAAAUGCAAACUGUGCAAGUAUAUAUGUUGUAUGCACACAUGCAUAUAAACUAAUAUAAUAUAUAUACAUGAUUUCAUGUGUUAAAGAGUGUACUUGUUCUUAAAUAAAGGUUCUGCUGACAAAUGUGUUUAACAAUAUGAUCUUACAACUCAUCUUUAAACUUUGUAUAACUGAAAUAUUAUUCAUCAAUUGUAACUUCCCCUGUUGCUAUUUGCUAAUGACACAAGCUAUGAAGAUUGUACUCAUUCUGUUCGUAGAUGCAAGGCUAGAAAUUAGGUUUGUAUGGGGUUAAAUCAAUUGAUGCUAUAGUAUUUGUUAAAAUUGUAAGAUUUGGUGGUUUGGUAAAUUGAUUAUAGUAAUGUUGUUUGUGGUUUGGGUUCUCCUUUUGUUUUGGAUAGAUGAUGCUUGAUUGUGGUUUAAGUUUUUAUUAUUAUUAUAUUCCCUGCACAUUGCAAAAUUCUGGUACUAUUUGAGGAUUUUGGUGUUGAAAGUCUAGGGUUUAGUGGAAUGAAAAGAAGGGAUGUAUGCGUUUCGGAAAUGUGUUUUUAAGGUACCUUUAACUCCUAACUGCCAUUUAGCAUUCAAUAUAUACUCUAUUGCUGGCUGGGGUUUACCCUUUUGAGCAUUUUAUUACGUUUCUUCUUGCUCUCUGACUGAAAAUUUUAAAUGCUAUAGGUGAAUGCAAACAGUGCAAAACGCGGUCUGAAAAAUGGACGAAAGCGAGCAUUUCGACUUGCUGCUGCAAUACACAGGUGUGUUGAAAACUUUCCCAAAUCCUUUGUGCUUACACAAUUAUACAUGUGUGUAUGUACAGCUUUAUACAUGCAUCUGUGGAAAUACAUACGUUAGAGCCUGGUUUUUGUUUUAGAUUUAUAUGCUAGUUGUUAGGUUCUAGCUAUGUGAAGUUUAUGUCUUUAAUUUAUUUUUUUAUGGAAGUAGCUCAUGUUUGCUUACCCGGCGGUGGUUAUUCUGAUUUAGUGGUUAAAAAUGGAAAUUUCACUCGCAGUAAGGGAUUAAUUGAGGUUCAUGCAUGCAUCCGUGGUGUAAAUUUGAGAGAUGGAAUAAUAUAUGUGUGUAAAGUCCCUUCUUUUGGUUUUUUAUUGCACUGUUUAGGUGGUGAAUUGCACGGAAAAUGGGGGAAGAGAGGGGUACAAUUGAUUUAAUUUGAGCAAAACAAUGGCAUUUAAGCUUAGUUAGUUAGUGAUUAUUAGAGUCAAUAAGGCGCCAUUUGUCUUUAACUGAAAUAUGAAUUUAUUGAAUGAUGAAUGAGGUUGUAGUGUGAGAGAAAUUGAGAAAGUAAAGAAAAGAUGGAAGAUGAAGCUACAAAUAUGUGACAAACAAUAAUGAUAGAUCAAUUCAUCUAUGUUGGUUUAUUAAACUUGGUCAAGCAAGCGUUUUGUUUUAAUUGGGAUAUAGUUUGGUACUUUCAUACUAAUUUCCAUAGUUUAUAAUAGUUAACCAACCAAAGGUGCUUUCUUUUCAUUAUUUUCCAAUAUAUUUUAGCCAGCUGACAAUCUUAAAAGAUUUACUUAGACGCAAAACAAAUCCGUGUAUUAUACACAUACCUGAGAUUUAUGGGGCCAUAUUUGCGCCUUCUUCCGGCAUCGUUUAUUGGUAAGUUGUAAAACCUUUGUAGAUCUCAUGUUCAUUUCAGAUUUUUGUAUCAAUUUUUGUAUCAUAAUGGAAUUGCAAAUCAAGUAUAUCUUGGAUUCUUACUUGCAUACUCACUUUUCCACAACUAUUAUAUUGUCUCUUGACUGGAUGAAUUUUCAUAAUUUCCUGGAUCUACGGUUACAAUGCUUUUUAUAAUUUCCUAGCUCUAUCCUUUUUGUUUGUGCAUGAUUAUGUUGAUUUUUUUUAAGGUUAAAUGUGUCUUAUUCAUGUAGUUAAGGUUUGUGCAUUCAAGUUCCGCAGCAAUGCGCGGGCAUUUUUUCUAGUAUUAGCUAAUGCAGAUUGGAUGAAACUCUGGAAGUUGACUAUAUAUUAGUAUGCGUUCAAAUUCUGGAUAUCAAAAUAUAAUUGUCUCCAGUAAUACUAAAUUUCGUUAUCGUUAUGGUGUAUAGAUCAAGUGGAUUAAUUAUAGCUACGUGGGGUGCUUCAGAGUGUACGGCAUGUGGAUAACUUUUCAGUGGUCGAAUAGUGUUCUUCAAAAUGUUUUGAUUAAUUUUCUUGAAGUUCAGUUGCUAGCUAGUAUAUGUAUAUUUUUUUAAGGGAUGAUAGUGUUCUCAUUCCCUUAAUCUUAUUAAAAUAAAAACAGAAAUACAAACAAGGGUGUGGAUCCAAAUUUCUGCCUUUUUUUUCUUGGACGAAAAUGCACCUGCAAAACAAUUAACACUUUAGGUUAAGGUCAAGAGCGUCACGCGCCCAUGAUGAAUGGGGGACCUUUGGCCGAAGAACUUCCGAUGUCAAAGUUAGAAUUUGAGGGAGAAAGUAUUUGGAGAAAUCUGGAGAAUUUCAAAAGAGAAUUAGAUUCAGGUUGUUUGAGAAAAUGAGGGGCUAUAUAUGGAGGUGUGGCCGACCCUAUUAGGAAAUUUGGGACCGGUCACAUAUGGUUGAUGUGUGGGAUUGAUUGCAAGAUAUUAUGUGAGAUAAUAUCUUACAAUUAAUUUGGUAAUUAAUCAAUUAAUCCCAAUUUGAAAAGAAUAAUUGGGAGUUAUCUUGUGGGUGAGAAUUUGAUGAGGAGUGAUGAGAGAGUUUUAAAAGAAUACCAUUUUGAUCACCUUUGACCUUGAUUGAGUUAUUGUUUGUUACAUGUGUGGGAAUCUUGAUGUGUUUUAAGGGUAAUUUUGUCUUUUUAACUCAAAAGUCUAUGUGUCGCCUUUAUAUUUUUCUUGAUUAUUUUUUGUUCCAAGGCAAUACAAAGCCAAACCUCCUUGAGGAAAAAAAAGGUAAAACCAAAAAUCAACCCCACAUACAAAGAAAACAUAUAAUGAAAUCAUUUGAAACGAUGGUUGGUAAAAGCAGAAAGAGCAAAAGUUUCACAUGAAAGAACGUUCACCAUCAGUAAUGUGCAUCAUGAUUUGCACGAAAGUUAGUUAAGGCAUCAGCCAUACAUGCAGUUGCUAGCUAGUACAGUAGUAGCUAUACCACUCAACUUUUAUUUUAUGUUUUUAUUAAUUAUUAGGUGUACCAACAGUUAUAUGAAUUUGAAACAUUUGUCAACUUUAAGACAAAGUAUUUGAAGUUAAUGAAGAAUUUGGUAUAAAACCGAGUACAGUGAUGUUCUAAGAUUUAUACAGUUAAUAAAAUUUUAUUGUUGUUUGUAGUAAGAAAAAGAGUAUUAUUAAAUCAAGUGCUUGUUUAAUAGUAAAAAUAUUAGAGACUACUGAAAAAACAAAAGGAGUAUAUACACUUGUCUUGUCACUGUCAUAUUCACUUAUCUUGUCACUGUCGUAUUCUUGUCGAGUUCAUGUGCGAUAUUAAUUUAUAAGUACUACAUUGUUGUAACUAAUUUCACCAUAGUGGAAAACCUAACCUACUCAGUUCACUCUUGUUGGGCUUUUUGGCUCAAAAUUAAGAUGAUGUAAUAAAUUAGGUUUGUGUUACCUAUUUGGUUUUGGUGUCCUAUUUGGGUUUGGAUUUUGACUUCUUAGUUGGUUUCCUUGAUGGAGAGAUUUUGUUAAUUACCUAUUUGAUUAGGAUUUUUGGGAGCAGCCUCUCCAUAAAUGGGGGUAAGGCUAGCCGACAUUCACCUCUUCCAGACCCUGCGUAAAGCGGGAGCCUUGUGCACUGGGUACGACCUAUUUGAUUAGGAUUUGGAUUUACUUCCUAUUAGGAUUCUUAUUGUAACCUAAGUCCUAUGCACUAUAAAAAGGACAUUAGGGUUAAUGUAUUUUGUGUGGCUCAUUCGUAUGGCAAUUUGGUGAGAGUCAAUUUGUGAAUUUGUGAGUUAGAGAGCAAUUUGGGAGAAUCUUCUCUGUUAGGUUUGGGUUAUCUACUUGUUUGGUUUAGGGUUUCUAAUUUGUGGGAUUUGGGUUGUGAGAGUUCAAACACUCUUUUGUAAUCUCCGUUUGUUUAGUGAAAUUCCUCGCCGUGAUUCGUCCGUGGAGUAGGCUUUAUGUCGAACCACGUAAAUCUCUUGUGUCAGUUUGAGAUUGUUUGUUUUAGCUUUCACCUACGACAUUGAUAUUUGGUACUUUGUUAUAAUUCGCUUCCUUUUGCCCAUAAAAGUACAACAACUCUCUCUUCAGAUCUGACUUUUCUUAUAAAUAAUAAAUAAAAAAGAAAACUAAUAAAAAAAAAGCUUGAAAAUUUUGAGUUUUAACGAUAAAGACAAAAUAAAGGAUAAAAUGAAUAGUACUAGGAUUAACUUGUUAAUGUAAAAAAUAUGGUUUUUCGUUAAAAUGAACGGGAACUUUUUGUUAAAAAAAAAAGAGAAGAAAGGUACGAUCUCAUGUAAUUGGUACAGGGUAGGCAUGCAUGGACCUGUAAUACAAGUCAAGAAAAAUAUUAAAGGGGAUCCUAUCCUCUAUAAGAGCAUGGUGCUGUUUCAUUGGGUUUCUAUCCCAAAAACUUAAAACUUCUAUAUUUCACACAAUAUUCUCUCCAAAAUGCCGCCGGUAAGCCUUUUCAUAUAUAUAUAUAUAUAUAUAUAUAUAUGUAUGUUCUACUACUCUUGCAUCUUGUAGCAGUUGUAUACAUUUUUCUUUUAAUCCAACUGAAACUAAUUAUUAAGGCGAGAAGGUUUUCUUAAAUUAGCUGACAUUAAUUAAAUGUAUAAAUUGAUCAUAUUGUGUAUACAUCUUUUGUACAAAUUGAUGGUGCAGCAAAUGAAGAUCGUUGUGAAGGUGCCAAUGCACUGUGACAAAUGCAGAACCAAGGCCUUGAAGAUUGCAGCUGCUGCACACGGUAUGUGCCUUUUGAUAUUAUCAUGAUUCAAAUUUUCUUUCAACGAUUUCAUUGUUAAUUAUAGUUGGCAUGGUUAUUAAAGAGUAUCAUAAUUAAUGAAAGCAGGUGUUAGUAAAGUGUCGAUAGACAAAGAUCUUGUGGAGGUGAUCGGGGAUGAUGUAGACCCGUUCUGCUUGAUGAAGUCAUUGAGGAAAAGGUUCGGCUGUUGCUGCGCCCUAGUCAAAGUUGAAGAAGUAAAGCCGCCACCUCGUCCACCUCGUCCACCUCCUCCACCUCCUCCAGCAAGCUGUGUUCAAAACUGUUGCACUUGCACUCCCCAUUGUCGUUCAAUGUACUGUGUUCAAUACUGUUGCACUCCUCAGUUUCGUCCAAUGUACUGUGAACUGGUUCAU